UUCCGGUUGAUCCUGCCGGAGGCUACUGCUAUCGGAAUUCGAUUAAGCCAUGCGAGUCGAGAGGGUUCGGCCCUCGGCUGACUGCUCAGUAACACGUGGAUAACUUGCCCUCAGGUAGGGGAUAAUCUCGGGAAACUGAGGAUAAUACCCUAUAGACAUCCUUUGCUGGAAUGCUUGGAUGUUCAAAGGCGACGCCUGAGGAUAGGUCUGCGGCCUAUCAGGUUGUAGUGGGUGUAACGGACCCACUAGCCAGCGACGGGUACGGGCCUUGAAAGAGGUAGCCCGGAGAUGGACUCUGAGACACGAGUCCAGGCCCUACGGGGCGCAGCAGGCGCGAAAACUUCGCAAUGCGGGAAACCGUGACGAGGGAAUUCCGAGUGCUCAUACAAUGUAUGGGCUUUUCUGAUGUGUAAAAAGCAUUAGGAAUAAGGGCUGGGUAAGACCGGUGCCAGCCGCCGCGGUAAUACCGGCAGCUCUAGUGGUAGCCACUUUUAUUGGGCCUAAAGCGUCCGUAGCCGGUCGGGUAAAUCCUUGGGUAAAUCGUGCAGCUUAACUGUGCGGCUUCCGGGGAGACUGCUCGACUUGGGACCGGGAGAGGUUGGAGGUACUCCUGGGGUAGGGGUGAAAUCCUGUAAUCCUAG
Molecule: ribosomal RNA, 641 nt
Filed under: uncultured archaeon
Lineage: Archaea
Description: bacterial SSU rRNA
Rfam family: Archaeal small subunit ribosomal RNA
Source: RNAcentral